AGCUUCAGAGCAGAGACCAGAGCCCAGAAAGGAGCAGAUGCUAGAUUUGCAAGAUCAGAAGCAGGUCUUGAUCCUCCUGCCCAGAAUGAACCAGACUUGAUGAUGAUGCCACCUUCAGGAGCCACCACACUGUGUGACAGUGGGGCAUUUGGGCCGUCCCUGGGAAGUACAGAUGCGCUGCUGUCACACAUUGUGGUGGCUCCUGAAGGUGGCAUCAUCAUCAAGUCUGGUUCAUUCUGGGCAGGAGGAUCAAGACCUGCUUCUGAUCUUGCAAAUCUAGCAUCUGCUCCUUUCUGGGCUCUUGUCUCUGCUCUGAAGCUCUGGAGAGAGGUCUAAGGUCAGAGGGGCGCUCUCUUCCAGGUAAGACUCCCUCACAGAGGCCCCCUGCUUCCUGCCUCACAAGGGCUGGUUUGUUUCAAGGCAACUGGGACAUGGAUCUGAGAAAUAAAUUCAUUUUAGGGGCAAAAAGUCUGACUCUUGGAAUUCAUUAUAACGUUAGACUUCAAGGACAGAAAGCCUGACAAUGCAGAGGGGGCCAGGCACCUCUGUCUGACCCAAGGGACCUGAAGAGACACUAGAAAUCCCAGGAUACAUGUGACACACGGUGGGAUUCCAUCCACAUCCUUUCCUUUACAUCCCUGGGGACGGAGGAACAGGC
Molecule: long non-coding RNA, 658 nt
Filed under: Equus asinus (donkey)
Lineage: Eukaryota; Metazoa; Chordata; Mammalia; Perissodactyla; Equidae
Description: lncRNA (ENSEASG00005026182.1)
Source: RNAcentral